This is a non-coding RNA of Sugiyamaella lignohabitans, 69 nucleotides long. The record is from Rfam. Lineage: Eukaryota; Fungi; Ascomycota; Dipodascomycetes; Dipodascales; Trichomonascaceae.
GACAUCAUGUAACGGUUACAAGGAAGAUUGCAAAUCUUACCUAUUUGAGUUCGACUCUCAUUGAUGUCU